Molecule: long non-coding RNA, 3360 nt
Filed under: Ananas comosus (pineapple)
Lineage: Eukaryota; Viridiplantae; Streptophyta; Magnoliopsida; Poales; Bromeliaceae
Description: long non-coding RNA (ACOM_LNC023594)
Source: RNAcentral
UUUUUACUUUAUUCUGAAUUAUUAACUACUAAAUUUAAAAAAAUAUCAAUAAUUACUCCUUACUUUUAUUUAAAAUUUUUAAAUUUAUCAUGAAAUUACCAAAAUAUUUUUUAAAAUUCCAAUUCUCAUUAGUAAAUUCUAGGUAUUUGAAAAUAUUUGAAAAUUCUUUUGAAAAUCAAUAAGAGUAUUUUGGUCAAUGAGAAAUAUAUUAAAUAUUUUUAAAGUUCUGAAAAUUAUAUUAAAUAUUAUGUCUAAUAUAGUAAUAUUAUCUAUCUAUAUCUAUACAUUGUUCUCCCUAAAUUUACCAUAUCGUAACAUUCACUUCAAUUUUGAGUGUGGGCUCCACCUCAAACCGGUUCAAGUUUUCUACAUAUUUUUCUCUUUUUUUACUUCAACCAAAUCGAAUUUUUCUCUUUUUUUCUUUGAACAGAAUCAAUAAUCAUUGUUGAGUUUGGGCUCUCCCAAACCCGUUUAAACUUUUCACAUUUUUUUCUCUUUCUUUGCUUGAACCAAAUCUGAAUUAUUAACUACUAAAUUUAAAAAAAAUAUCAAUAAUUACUCCAUACUUUUAUUUAAAAUUUUUAAAUUUAUCAUGAAAUUACCAAAAUAUUUUUUUAAAUUCCAAUUCUCAUUAGUAAAUUCUAGGUAUUUGAAAAUAUUUGAAAAUUCUUUUGAAAAUCAAUAAGAGUAUUUUGGCCAAUGAAAAAUAUAUUAGAUAUUUUUAAAGUUCUGAAAAUUACAUUAAAUAUUAUGUCUAAUAUAGUAAUAUGACUUGAGCUAGAAUACUAUCGAUAGCAAACGGGCUCCGUUGCCACCCAUUUGUUUUCGAUGAUGGAGCCUCCAAAUCGAUGAUCGGCACCGUUGAAUAUGAUCGAUACCACUUGAAGUAUCUAGAAAUCAAAUCUCAUGCUUUUUCGAUAUUGUUCUCUUAUCCCUCAAGUGAGCGUAAAAAUGAACGGCUGAAAAUGAAUAUCCUCUAAAAAGUGAUAAUAGAAAUUUUGUAAUCAAGAUCGAAAGUAUAGAUCUUAUUCUAAAUAGUUUAAAGAAUUUUCUAACCAAAAUUCAAUUGAUUUGGAUAGCUUUACACCGUUAAACAAGAAAUUGUCUCAUAUCUACCAUUAAAAUUACAAAUUUUAAAACCCUUUGAUCAUUAGGUCAAUGAUGUCGAAAUGAUUUGAAAUUUGGUUUCUAGAUAUUUCAAGUGGUAUAGAUCAUAUUCAACGGUACCGAUCGUCAAUUUAUAAGCUCCAUCAUCGAAAACAAAUGGGUGGCAACGGAGUUGGUUUGCUACCGAUAGCAUUCCAGCUCAACUCAUAGUAAUAUUAUCUAUCUAUAUCUAUACACUCAUCUUCCUAAAUUUACCAUAUCGUAACAUUCACUUCAAUUUUGAGUGUGGGCUCCACCUCAAACCGGUUCAAGUUUUCUACAUAUUUUUCUCUGUUUUUGCUUCAACAAAAUCGAAUUUUUCUCUUUUUUUUUCUGAACAGAAUCAAUAAUCAUUGUUGAGUUUGGGCUCUCCCAAACCCGUUUAAACUUUUCACAUUUUUUUCUCUUUCUUUGCUUGAACCAAAUCUGAUUUCAUCUUUUUUUACUUGAACCAAACUGGUCAACCUGUUGCAUCGGGCCGAACCUGCCCAUCUAGUCCACAUGUUCCCAUCUUUGAACAGAAUUUUUUUCUUUCUUUAUUUGAACCGAACAGAUCACUGUUGCGAGUGCGGACUUCACUCCGAACUAGCUCAAGUUUUUCUUAUUUUUGCUUGAACCAAACCAAAUUUUGUUUGCUUGAAUAGAAUCGGGUCGCACUUCUGUAUUGGCCGUAAUUGUUCAUCUUUCUUUUUCUUCUAAUGGUAUCUUUUAUUAUUGACAGUAUAAACCCCAUCUCUCAUCAUUAUUUUUUUUAUUACCGUUUUCUAUUUCUUUAUCGCCGUUUUUUAUUUUAUUUUCUAUUAUUUAUCCGUAUCCGUCUUAUCGUACGAAUUGCUAUACUAAUUUUUAUAUAUUAUUUGACCUAAAUUUUAAAACAGCAUAAUUUAUUACAUAAAAAAAAAAAAAAAAUAUCGCGUGCAAAAAGGUGAAAGUCAUCUCGACCGUCGGAUUCAUCUUCGUAUGCGGACUGUCAUGUCAUGACGGGUGGGGACCGCAAUAUUUCUGCCAGCUGGCCGGACCGUGUUUCGAUUCCCGCGUUCGACACGUGGAUGCCAGCUCGGAGUAAUCCCGCCCAAAAACGACGACGACGACUCCGCCAGCCGGCUCAACCCAAUCGCGUUCUACGUACGUCUUCUCCUUUUCUUCAUCCCCCCGCCCAAAAAUUGCAGUUAAAAAAUAAUAAUAAUAAUAAUAAUAAUAAUAAUAAUAAUAAUAAAAGAAAAGGCUGUACUGCUAUGUGUUAACUGUAGCCCGUGUUGUAAUUAAUUAUCUUAAAAACCAAAUAUAAUAUCUUAAAAACCAAAUAUAAAUUAUUAUCUACUAAACUUUAAAAAUUCUAAGUAUUUUUUAAAAAUUCUAAGUAUUACCUUACUUUUAUUUAAAAUUUUUAAAUUUAUUCUGAAAUUAUCAAAAUAUCUUUUUAAAUCCCAAUUCUCAUUAGUAAAUUCUAAGUAUUUGAAAAUAUUUAAAAAUUAUAUUAAUUAUUAUGCCUAAUAUUAUUUAUCUAUAUCUAUACAUUGUUCCCCCUAAAUUUACCACAUCGUAACAUUCACUUCAAUUUUGAGUGUGGGCUCCAUCUUGAACCGGUUCAAGUCAUCUACAUAUUUUUCUCUUUUUUUGUUUGAACCGAAUCGAAUUUUUCUCUUUUUUUGUUAGAACAGAAUUAAUAAUCAUCGUUGAGUUUGAGCUCUCCCAAACCAGUUCAAAAUUUUCACAUUUUUUCUUUUGUUUUUGCUUGAACCAAAUUCGGUUUCAUCUUUCUUUACUUGAACUAAAUCGGUCAACCUGUUGCAUCGGGCCGAACCUGCCCAACUAGUCCACAUGUUUCCAUCUUUGAACAGAAUAUUUCUCUUUCUAGAUUUGAACCAAACAGAUCACUGUCAAGUAUAGACUUCAUUCUGAAGUUUUUCUUCUAUUUGCUUGAACCGAACCAAAUUUUUUUUGCUUGAACAGAACCGGAUCACACUUCUGCACUGGGCAUAGCUGUUCCUCUUCCUUUUUCUUUUACUGUUAUCUUUUUUUUAUUGAUAAGAUAAAUCUCACCCCUUAUAGUCUCUUCUUUCAUUACUAUUAUUUUUUUUUUGUCACCGUUUUUUAUUUUCUCUCCUAUCUUCUAUCGAUCGCAUAUAUAUGCAUUACUAUAUUAAUUUAUUUAUACAUUAUUUGACCUAAAUUUUAAAAAAUUAUAAUAACCGCAAAAAAAAAAAAAACAAA